CCUACGGGGGGCAGCAGUGGGGAAUAUUGGACAAUGGGGGCAACCCUGAUCCAGCCAUGCCGCGUGUGUGAAGAAGGCCCUCGGGUUGUAAAGCACUUUCAGUGAGGAAGAACGCCUGGUGGUUAAUACCCAUCAGGAAAGACAUCACUCACAGAAGAAGCACCGGCUAACUCCGUGCCAGCAGCCGCGGUAAUACGGAGGGUGCGAGCGUUAAUCGGAAUUACUGGGCGUAAAGCGCGCGUAGGUGGCUUGAUAAGCUGGUUGUGAAAGCCCCGGGCUCAACCUGGGAACGGCAUCCGGAACUGUCAAGCUAGAGUGCAGGAGAGGAAGGUAGAAUUCCCGGUGUAGCGGUGAAAUGCGUAGAGAUCGGGAGGAAUACCAGUGGCGAAGGCGGCCUUCUGGACUGACACUGACACUGAGGUGCGAAAGCGUGGGUAGCAAACAGGAUUAGAUACCCCUGUAGUC
Molecule: ribosomal RNA, 465 nt
Filed under: Vreelandella stevensii
Lineage: Bacteria; Pseudomonadati; Pseudomonadota; Gammaproteobacteria; Oceanospirillales; Halomonadaceae
Description: partial 16S ribosomal RNA
Rfam family: Bacterial small subunit ribosomal RNA
Source: RNAcentral